Molecule: transfer RNA, 73 nt
Filed under: Pleodorina starrii
Lineage: Eukaryota; Viridiplantae; Chlorophyta; Chlorophyceae; Chlamydomonadales; Volvocaceae
Description: tRNA-Pro
Rfam family: tRNA
About the family: Transfer RNA (tRNA) molecules are approximately 80 nucleotides in length. Their secondary structure includes four short double-helical elements and three loops (D, anti-codon, and T loops).
Source: RNAcentral
GGGAGUUUGGUCUAGUGGUAUGAUUCUCGCUUCGGGUGCGAGAGGCCGCGAGGUUUGAUUCUCGCAACUCCCC